GACGAACGCUGGCGGCGUGCUUAACACAUGCAAGUCGAGCGAUGAAAUCCCUUCGGGGAUGGAUUAGCGGCGGACGGGUGAGUAACACGUGGGUAACCUGCCUCAAAGAGGGGGAUAGCCUCCCGAAAGGGAGAUUAAUACCGCAUAACAUUAGUUUUUCGCAUGGAGAACUAAUUAAAGGAGUAAUCCGAUUUGAGAUGGACCCGCGGCGCAUUAGCUAGUUGGUGAGGUAACGGCUCACCAAGGCGACGAUGCGUAGCCGACCUGAGAGGGUGAUCGGCCACAUUGGAACUGAGACACGGUCCAGACUCCUACGGGAGGCAGCAGUGGGGAAUAUUGCACAAUGGGCGAAAGCCUGAUGCAGCAACGCCGCGUGAGUGAUGAAGGCCUUCGGGUUGUAAAACUCUGUCGUUUGGGACGAUAAUGACGGUACCAAAGGAGGAAGCCACGGCUAACUACGUACCAGCAGCCGCGGUAA
RNAcentral lists this ribosomal RNA (478 nucleotides) under uncultured bacterium. RNAcentral's name for it is "partial 16S ribosomal RNA". It matches the Rfam family "Bacterial small subunit ribosomal RNA", at positions 28 to 523 of the family's 1533-position model. The record is from RNAcentral.